RNAcentral lists this ribosomal RNA (418 nucleotides) under Acanthamoeba sp. RNAcentral's name for it is "partial 18S ribosomal RNA". It matches the Rfam family "Eukaryotic small subunit ribosomal RNA", at positions 789 to 1107 of the family's 1831-position model. Lineage: Eukaryota; Discosea; Longamoebia; Acanthamoebidae. The record is from RNAcentral.
GAUCCUAUUUUCUGCCACCGAAUACAUUAGCAUGGGAGAAUGGAAUAGGACCCUGUGGUAAAUUUUCAGUUGGUUUUGRCMGYRSKMGGACYAGGGWCUUGAGUAAUAGGGAUAGKUGGGGGCMUUAAUAUUUAAUUGUCAGAGGUGAAAUUCUUGGAUUUAUGAAAGAUUAACUCUCCCGAAAGCAUCUGCUAAGGAUGUUUUCAUUMAUCAWWAACGAWAGCCAGGGGCCCGACGACGAUCAGACACCCUCAAAGUCGGAGCCAUAAACGAUGUCCACCAGCCCCUUGGAGACGUUUWCGGCGAAAGACCACCGUCGGCGCGUUCGUCCUUGGCGUUGWUGGUUUCACGGUAGACGAUCUGGGCCCRGUUUAGCCCGGGGGCCCCGGGGAAUGACUCCCCUAGCAGCUKGUGAURU